RNAcentral lists this ribosomal RNA (465 nucleotides) under uncultured bacterium. RNAcentral describes it as "partial 16S ribosomal RNA". It matches the Rfam family "Bacterial small subunit ribosomal RNA", at positions 28 to 507 of the family's 1533-position model. The record is from RNAcentral.
GACGAACGCUGGCGGCGUGCUUAAUACAUGCAAGUCGAACGGAAAGGCCCCUUUGGGGGUACUCGAGUGGCGCACGGGUGAGUAACACGUGAGUAACCUGCCCUUGACUUCGGGAUAACUUCAGGAAACUGGGGCUAAUACCGGAUAGGAAUCCUUGCUGCAUGGUGGGGGUUGGAAAGCUUCGGCGGUUUUGGAUGGACUCGCGGCUUAUCAGCUUGUUGGUGGGGUAGUGGCUUACCAAGGCUUUGACGGGUAGCCGGCCUGAGAGGGCGACCGGCCACAUUGGGACUGAGAUACGGCCCAGACUCCUACGGGAGGCAGCAGUGGGGAAUAUUGCACAAUGGGCGGAAGCCUGAUGCAGCAACGCCGCGUGCGGGAUGACGGCCUUCGGGUUGUAAACCGCGUUCAGCAGGGGCGAAGCUUGUGGUGACGGUACCUGCAGAAGAAGCACCGGCUAACUACGUG